This 376-nucleotide RNase P RNA is filed under the name Isobaculum melis. RNAcentral's name for it is "Bacterial RNase P class B". It matches the Rfam family "Bacterial RNase P class B". Rfam says of the family: Ribonuclease P (RNase P) is a ubiquitous endoribonuclease, found in archaea, bacteria and eukarya as well as chloroplasts and mitochondria. Its best characterised activity is the generation of mature 5'-ends of tRNAs by cleaving the 5'-leader elements of precursor-tRNAs. Cellular RNase Ps are ribonucleoproteins. Lineage: Bacteria; Bacillati; Bacillota; Bacilli; Lactobacillales; Carnobacteriaceae. The record is from Rfam by way of RNAcentral.
AAUUUUGGGUAAUCGCGGUUUAUAUAUAAUAAGCUGAGGAAAGUCCAUGCUCGCACAAGCUGCGAUGCUUGUAGUGUUCGUGCUUAGCGAAAAAAUAAGCUAAGGUAUCUUCUUAGGAAGUUAACGGCAGAAAAACGUGCUAAGGAAUUUAUUCUAUGUGCUAGUAUUCUUGAAAGUGCCACAGAGACGAAGCAAUUGGAGAAAUCCCAUUGGUGGAACGCGGUAAACCCCUCGAGCGAGCAACCCAAACUAUGGUAGGGGCAUUUCUUCCAAGGAAUUGAACAGAGGAAGAGAGCAACAUUGUUGCAGAUAGAUGAUUACCAACAGCUAAAGAUUCACCUGAAGCUUUAGCUGUUACAGAACAUGGCUUACAGAA